This is a long non-coding RNA of Drosophila miranda, 465 nucleotides long. RefSeq lists it as uncharacterized. The transcript is spliced from 2 exons. Lineage: Eukaryota; Metazoa; Arthropoda; Insecta; Diptera; Drosophilidae. The record is from RefSeq and is a predicted model, not a curated record.
AUUGUCAUUCACAACGAAAAAAUGGUAUUCAAAGCGAAAACGUAAACUAUGAUUUUGCAAAAAUAACAAAAAACAACAACAAUCAUGCCCAAUGGUUCGGAUGCAUUCCAGGCUCGCUGAAAUUUUGGAUCUGGACGGAUUAUGUAGCUCUAGCACCUUUUCUUUCAACAAGGGCCCCCGCCAAAGCGAACCAAAAAAGACGACACUCCUUGGAUGGCAGAGAUUGCCAGAGAGCGACUCGAAGAGCAGAAGGACCUUCACAGGAAGAAGGAAGAACAUGAAAUAAGGAAGGAAAAGAUGGUCGAGGACCUCAUCAACACGCAAAAAAAAUUCCAGAAUGAUUUAUUGGAAGUGCUGAAAAAUAAUAAUAAGUUUAUAAUUUGCAUUACGGUCUAAACAAUAUUUUGCGAUUGCAGAUCGUAUCUGUUCUGCUGACUGAUUCAAGUCACCAGAACUAUCAUUUUC